GGAUGUGAGGGCGAUCCGGCUGCAACAUCUUUCACCACAUUGAUGGCCGGCUGAUCCGGCUGACCAGGCAGGUGUCCCCUUUCUCCCUCAACGCUCCAUGUGCAUUCCAUCCAAAGCUGCACACUGGGUCAAAGAAGAUGACCACCCCUGACAGAGAAGGACCCAUUCCUCGGUCAUGGAUAUGUGAGUAGCUGCACUCCCUUGCUAGAACCUCCAGACAAGUGCUCAGAUACUGUUCUAGGCAGAGAUAAACACGGAGCAAAAUAGACACUCCAUGGGCCUCCCCA
Cavia aperea (Brazilian guinea pig) is the source of this 287-nucleotide unclassified non-coding RNA. Its record names the gene 7SK. It matches the Rfam family "7SK RNA". Rfam says of the family: 7SK was discovered as an abundant small nuclear RNA in the mid-70s but a possible function has only recently been suggested. The record is from Ensembl. NCBI's taxonomy places the organism in Eukaryota, Metazoa, Chordata, Mammalia, Rodentia, Caviidae.